This 721-nucleotide ribosomal RNA is filed under the name Bacillus sp. HKG 103. Its description in RNAcentral is "bacterial SSU rRNA". It matches the Rfam family "Bacterial small subunit ribosomal RNA", at positions 552 to 1273 of the family's 1533-position model. The record is from RNAcentral. Lineage: Bacteria; Bacillati; Bacillota; Bacilli; Caryophanales; Bacillaceae.
UAUUGGGCGUAAAGCGCGCGCAGGCGGUUUCUUAAGUCUGAUGUGAAAGCCCCCGGCUCAACCGGGGAGGGUCAUUGGAAACUGGGGAACUUGAGUGCAGAAGAGGAGAGUGGAAUUCCACGUGUAGCGGUGAAAUGCGUAGAGAUGUGGAGGAACACCAGUGGCGAAGGCGACUCUCUGGUCUGUAACUGACGCUGAGGCGCGAAAGCGUGGGGAGCGAACAGGAUUAGAUACCCUGGUAGUCCACGCCGUAAACGAUGAGUGCUAAGUGUUAGAGGGUUUCCGCCCUUUAGUGCUGCAGCAAACGCAUUAAGCACUCCGCCUGGGGAGUACGGUCGCAAGACUGAAACUCAAAGGAAUUGACGGGGGCCCGCACAAGCGGUGGAGCAUGUGGUUUAAUUCGAAGCAACGCGAAGAACCUUACCAGGUCUUGACAUCCUCUGACACCCCUAGAGAUAGGGCUUCCCCUUCGGGGGCAGAGUGACAGGUGGUGCAUGGUUGUCGUCAGCUCGUGUCGUGAGAUGUUGGGUUAAGUCCCGCAACGAGCGCAACCCUUGAUCUUAGUUGCCAGCAUUCAGUUGGGCACUCUAAGGUGACUGCCGGUGACAAACCGGAGGAAGGUGGGGAUGACGUCAAAUCAUCAUGCCCCUUAUGACCUGGGCUACACACGUGCUACAAUGGACAGAACAAAGGGCAGCGAAGCCGCGAGGCUCAGCCAAUC